UACGUAGGGUGCAAGCGUUGUCCGGAAUUAUUGGGCGUAAAGAGCUCGUAGGCGGUUUGUCGCGUCUGCUGUGAAAACUCGGGGCUUAACUCCGGGCCUGCAGUGGGUACGGGCAGACUAGAGUGCGGUAGGGGAGACUGGAAUUCCUGGUGUAGCGGUGAAAUGCGCAGAUAUCGGGAGGAACACCAAUUGCGAAGGCAGCUCGCUGGGACGUCACUGACGCUGAGGCGCGAAAGCCAGGGGAGCGAACGGG
RNAcentral lists this ribosomal RNA (253 nucleotides) under uncultured bacterium. Its description in RNAcentral is "partial 16S ribosomal RNA". It matches the Rfam family "Bacterial small subunit ribosomal RNA", at positions 524 to 776 of the family's 1533-position model. The record is from RNAcentral.